RNAcentral lists this ribosomal RNA (300 nucleotides) under Listeria grayi FSL F6-1183. RNAcentral describes it as "bacterial LSU rRNA". It matches the Rfam family "Bacterial large subunit ribosomal RNA", at positions 2626 to 2925 of the family's 2925-position model. The record is from RNAcentral. Lineage: Bacteria; Bacillati; Bacillota; Bacilli; Caryophanales; Listeriaceae.
ACAGUUCGGUCCCUAUCCGUCGCGGGCGCAGGAAAUUUGAGAGGAGCUGUCCUUAGUACGAGAGGACCGGGAUGGACGCACCGCUGGUGUACCAGUUGUUCCGCCAGGAGCAUCGCUGGGUAGCUAUGUGCGGCAGGGAUAAACGCUGAAAGCAUCUAAGCGUGAAGCCCCCCUCAAGAUGAGAUUUCCCAUUUCUUCGGAAAGUAAGAUCCCUGAAAGAUGAUCAGGUAGAUAGGUUUGGAGUGGAAGUAUGGCAACAUAUGGAGCGGACAAAUACUAAUCGAUCGAGGACUUAACCAA